AGUGAACGCUGGCGGUAGGCCUAACACAUGCAAGUCGAACGGCAGCACAGUAAGAGCUUGCUCUUACGGGUGGCGAGUGGCGGACGGGUGAGGAAUACAUCGGAAUCUACUUUUUCGUGGGGGAUAACGUAGGGAAACUUACGCUAAUACCGCAUACGACCUACGGGUGAAAGCAGGGGAUCUUCGGACCUUGCGCGAUUGAAUGAGCCGAUGUCGGAUUAGCUAGUUGGCGGGGUAAAGGCCCACCAAGGCGACGUUCCGUAGCUGGUCUGAGAGGAUGAUCAGCCACACUGGAACUGAGACACGGUCCAGACUCCUACGGGAGGCAGCAGUGGGGAAUAUUGGACAAUGGGCGCAAGCCUGAUCCAGCCAUACCGCGUGGGUGAAGAAGGCCUUCGGGUUGUAAAGCCCUUUUGUUGGGAAAGAAAAGCAGCAGGUUAAUACCCCGCUGUUCUGACGGUGCCCAAAGAAUAAGCACCGGCUAACUUCGUG
This 492-nucleotide ribosomal RNA is filed under the name uncultured bacterium. RNAcentral's name for it is "partial 16S ribosomal RNA". It matches the Rfam family "Bacterial small subunit ribosomal RNA", at positions 29 to 507 of the family's 1533-position model. The record is from RNAcentral.